AUGAACGACGAGCUCUCCGCUUCUCGGAGGUACUGCACCGUGCCGCUCAUCGUCUUCACCAGCUUCUGGCUUAUGUGCAGGCCGAGGCCUUCUCGGGAUACCCCUGGGCCGUGCCGGAACAUCUCCUGUAUCAGUGCCUCCGGGACGCCUGGUGCUGGGUGGACAAGUCUGCAUGGAUUCAUGGGUUAA
RNAcentral lists this ribosomal RNA (189 nucleotides) under Triticum aestivum (bread wheat). RNAcentral's name for it is "partial small subunit ribosomal RNA". The record is from RNAcentral. Lineage: Eukaryota; Viridiplantae; Streptophyta; Magnoliopsida; Poales; Poaceae.